GUCAAGCCCUUAGCAGUGAGUUAAGUAUCUGAUUAACCUCCAUUGCAGCCUCUGGUUUAGAGAUGAAUCAAUUGAAGCAGAGAGAGAGCAUCACAUGGUUAGUAAAUGGCAGGGUUGGGAUGGAACUCACUUCUGCCAGACUCUAGAGCUCUUCCCUGAUGCAGAAUUGAUAAGGGGCCCUGCGUCAUGGCAGAGCACCUUACACCCUGACUGAGAAUUCCCAUUCCUGAGCUUGGGAGUAACUAAUGCCCACCCCUCUCCAGCCCUCGGGGUGCUAUUGACACACCAGUGGCCUCAGAGUCAGGACACUGGGUUCCAUGUGGAUUCUGAUGCCACCUUGCUGGGUAACACUGGGGACUAAGACCCUGCUCUAUGCAGGGGAAGAGAAAGAAGAUGGUUUUAUUUUCCCACCUCCAUUGUCUUUUCAUUGAGAGAUCCCUGCAAGGGGGUGUCAUCCACUCAGCAAACACAAGUCAACGACUCAGGGUUGGUACAUGACAAGAAAAGUUGGGAAACACCUUUCUUGAAGGCCUGGACUUAACCCAGAGAGCCCCAAGUGAUGGGGCCAGGUGGCCUCCCCUCCAGGACAGCCUGAAGCAAGAGGACACCUCCUUCUUGACACUUCCAAAGGGCCACGCGGGAUUCCAGGUUGUCCAUCUGCAUCUGCAACCGCUUCAGGGUGAGGUCACUUUCGCGGGACUUGCGUUUAUAGGCGAUGAGCACAGCCACGAUGAAGAUGAUGAGGAGGCCGCCGGCCACCGCGAUGCUGACGAUGGCAGGCAGGCUGAGCGGGCUGUCAGGCGCGAUAUACACCAUUCCCGGGGAGUAUUCCAUGCCACCAACACGGGCCUGGGGCACAUAGGGCAAGAGGGAGCUGGGUGUGAGGACACAGAAGCUUUGGCAACAGUCCCAAGUCACCCAUGAAUUGGUGACCAGGGCAGGAUGAGGGAAAGGAGAGACCAAUCACUGGUGUUGAAAUAGACAAGAGUGCAUGAGGGGCUGGAAGUGGACAGGCACAGCUCAACAGAGCUCACCGCUACCUGGAAAAACCCCACUUCCUCUUAUUCAGGAGCGAGUUUUGUCAUCUUCAUAAGGAAACAGCACACAACUGGGACCUAAACACAGUCUGCCACCAAUGACUGGUUCCCCUAAGAUUUAUAUACCCAUUGUAAGGGUGAGGACAGCUGAGGCACAGAACAUGAUAUUCAGAUAUCACGGACUUCCUGGGCCAGCAAGGGCUUAUUCUUGAAGGCUUUCUUGGUUGUGGCAGGUGAUUUAGCAACUGCUUAAUGCUGUUUUGCAUUUUCCUUAUUGCUGCACCAGCCAGCAUGGAAAGAAUGGCAAUACAGAAGGGAGAAGCUCAAAAGUGGACAUGAAGAAGGAACUUGGGGUGCGGGGUAGCUAAAGGGAAGCUCUUGGUGGGCCAGAAUCCCCUCCUGGAAAUCACUGGUGGCUGAGAUGGAGCUGGACCGCUCACAUCCGUACCCCUCCUGCCCGCUCCAACCAGGAUGGGGUUCUGCCAGGCUCACCAUCACUUUGUGCCUGCCAAUGAGGUUGGGGGACUCGCAGAGCAGCUGCACAUCCGACACGGUCACGGUGCACGGCUUCUCCCCAACCAGCACGGUGUAGUUCAGCUUCACAUUGCCCCCAGCCACGGGCGGGAUCAGGUUCUUGCCCUGGACAGAUGGGAAAGCCUCAGUUCCCACCCCAGAGAGAGGACCACAGCUACCAGCUGGCUCUCACGUCCUCCCACCUGGAGAUCCCAUCCUGCUGGUGAGCUGGUGAAGAAGCCACCUUUGGCAAUAAGUACAAAAAAAAAAAAAUUUGUGGUACGUAUACUACCAUUAACUCUUCCUCCAAGUGGGUAAUCAAUAAUCAAAGCACUCCUUUCAGCUUAUCCCAAAUGCAGCCUAAGAACCCUUCUCAAUGCAGUGUUGGAGUCAGUCACUACCAAUGGAUUCGAAUUGUCAUGAGUUUUAGUUAACUGUGACCCAUGUUCCAAAGGAAGCCUGUGCUGUGGUUUGCACAAGGUUGCCUCAGAGGAAGCAGUGAGCCCCUGACCUUCCAGCACCUGGACUGUCAGAACAAUAAAAGCCUGAGAGUCAAAGAG
Cebus imitator (Panamanian white-faced capuchin) is the source of this 2110-nucleotide long non-coding RNA. RefSeq lists it as uncharacterized. Lineage: Eukaryota; Metazoa; Chordata; Mammalia; Primates; Cebidae. The record is from RefSeq and is a predicted model, not a curated record. The transcript has 4 exons.